GAUCCUGGUGAUGACAAAAGACAUGGUCAACCAAUCUCAAGGGAAUGAGGACAUGUCCUGCAAUUCUGAAUGGAUU
Small nucleolar RNA from Perognathus longimembris pacificus (Pacific pocket mouse), 76 nucleotides. RefSeq annotates it as small nucleolar RNA SNORD96 family. The record is from RefSeq and is a predicted model, not a curated record. The transcript has a single exon. NCBI's taxonomy places the organism in Eukaryota, Metazoa, Chordata, Mammalia, Rodentia, Heteromyidae.